GUACUGGUAGGUUAUUUAAACUGACAAAUUGUGGUUUUGUUGAUUACGCUUUUGAAAGAUUUUUGUA
This 67-nucleotide transfer RNA is filed under the name Caulobothrium sp. MZUSP 8009. RNAcentral describes it as "tRNA-His". Lineage: Eukaryota; Metazoa; Platyhelminthes; Cestoda; Tetraphyllidea. The record is from RNAcentral.